Molecule: ribosomal RNA, 253 nt
Filed under: uncultured bacterium
Lineage: Bacteria
Description: partial 16S ribosomal RNA
Rfam family: Bacterial small subunit ribosomal RNA
Source: RNAcentral
GACGUAGGGUGCGAGCGUUGUCCGGAUUUAUUGGGCGUAAAGCGCGCGUAGGCGGCUUUGUAAGUUAGAGGUGAAAGCCCGGAGCUCAACUCCGGAACUGCCUUUAAGACUGCAUCGCUAGAAUUGUGGAGAGGUGAGUGGAAUUCCGAGUGUAGAGGUGAAAUUCGUAGAUAUUCGGAAGAACACCAGUGGCGAAGGCGACUCACUGGACACAUAUUGACGCUGAGGUGCGAAAGCGUGGGGAGCAAACAGG